CCUGUCCCUAGAGGCAUUGCAGGUGUGGCAGCUGUGUUGCGUGCGCGGCAAUAGGUAGCAAAGAGAAGUGAAGCUGUGUAUAUGCCCAGUGUCCUGACCCAUGGACAGACAUCUGAAUAAUUACUAGCCUAACACU
Acomys russatus (golden spiny mouse) is the source of this 136-nucleotide small nucleolar RNA. RefSeq annotates it as small nucleolar RNA SNORA17. NCBI's taxonomy places the organism in Eukaryota, Metazoa, Chordata, Mammalia, Rodentia, Muridae. The transcript has a single exon. The record is from RefSeq and is a predicted model, not a curated record.